This 2915-nucleotide ribosomal RNA is filed under the name bioreactor metagenome. Its description in RNAcentral is "bacterial LSU rRNA". It matches the Rfam family "Bacterial large subunit ribosomal RNA". The record is from RNAcentral.
AAAAUUUUUUUAAGAGCAAUGAACGGAUGCCUUGGGUAAAAAAGAGGAAGAAGGACGUAACAGGCUGCGAUAAGUCUCGAUGAGGUGCCAAUAACCGCUUGGAGUCGAGAAUUUCCGAAUGGGGCAACCUAUCCUGUAUAACAGGAUGCCACAGAGCCAAGACCUGGUGAAGUGAAAUAUCUCAGUAACCAGAGGAAAAUAAAUCGUAAGAGAUUCCCUUAGUAGUGACGAGCGAACGGGGAAGAGCCCAAACCGGAUCAGUGUAAGAUUCUAGUCGUUGCUGAUUGCGGGGUUGUAGGAGUAUAUGGAGCUAGCUAGAAAUAGUUCAAAAGUAUGAUCUCUAUUUAGAAGAAGCAUUUAGAAGGUGCACCACAGAGGGUUUAAGUCCCGUAUUCGAAAGGUAUGAGACGCUUUUUAUGCCACCUAAGUAGUGUCGAACACGUGAAAUUCGGCAUGAAUCUGCCCAGACCAUUGGGUAAGGCUAAAUACUUUUUUACACCGAUAGCGUAUAGUACCGUGAGGGAAAGGUGAAAAGAACCCCAGGAAGGGGAGUGAAAUAGAUUCUGAAAUUCAUUGCUUACAAUUGAGUUGGAGUCCUUCGGGAUGACAACGUACCUAUUGACGAAUGGGUCAGCGAGUUAUUGUUGCCAGCAAGGUUAAGUCAGGUAUAGACGGAGCCGUAGGGAAACCGAGUCUGAAUAGGGCGAUUUAGUUGGUAGUAAUAGACCCGAAACGUUAUGAGCUAGGCAUGGGCAGGUUGAAGGCGUGCGAAAGUGCGCUGGAGGACCGAACGGGUUAGAGCUGCAAAUCUUUCCGAUGACUUGUGUCUAGGAGUGAAAAGCUCAUCGAAUAACGUAAUAGCUGGUUCUCUCCGAAAUGCAUUAGGGUGCAGCUCCCAAUCGAGAUCUCACAGAGGUAGAGCUCUGAUAAGACUAGGGGUGUCGAGAGACAUUACCAAAUCUUGUUAAACUUCGAAUGCUGUGAGGAAUAUUGGGAAGUGAGACUGCGGGCGCAAGGUUCGUGGUCAAAAGGAUAACAGUCCAGACAUGUAAUUAAGGUCCCUAAAUUAUAGCUAAGUGGUAAAGGAGGUAUUCUUGCUUUGACAUCCAGGAGGUUUGCUUAGAAGCAGCAAUCCUUUAAAGAUAGCGUAACAGCUCACUGGACAAGCGAGGACGCGCCGAAGAUGUAACGGGGCUAAGCUAUAUACCGAAAUUCAUGGCCUACAUAGCAAUAUGUAGUGCGGUAGGAGAGUGUUCUAUCGGGAUGAAGCAUAACUGUGAGGUUAUGUGGACUAGAUAGAAGUAAAAAUGCUGACAUGAGUAACGACGCAAGGCAAAAAUCCUUGCUGCCGAAAACCUAAGAAUUCCUGCGCAACGUUCAUCGUCGCGGGGUUAGUCGAGACCUAAGGUGAUACCAGAAGUGGUACAUCGAUGGAUAACUGGUUAAUAUUCCAGUACUUGUAUAUUCAGUGAUGUGGUAACGCAUCGGGAUUUGUAAGAGCUCAUUAAGGAUUUGAGUCGAAAAAGUAAGGUUUUGAUUGUAGGAAAAUCCGCAGUCAUUAUACUGAGCUUGAUCGGAAUUGCUUCCUUCGGGUUGUGAAAUUCUUAUCGUUCUGGUGCCGAGAAAAACCUCUAAACUUAUGUAUAUGCAACUCGUAUUCAGAUCAGACACUUGUAGGUUGGUAGAGAAUACCAAGGCAAUCGAGAUAACUAGUGGAUAAGGAACUUGGCAAAAUAGCGGACGUACUUUCGAAAUAAGUCCUACCCUGCAGUAAUGUAGGGUUGCAACAAAUGACAUGGGGGGAACUGUUUAUCACAAACACAGCUCGCUGCUAACACGUAAGUGGAUAUAUAGCGAGUGAUGCCUGUCCAAUGCCAGAAUGUUAUGCUCUCUUGUGCAAGCUCGAGGGUUAAGCACUGGUGAAUGACGGCCGUAACUAUGACGGUCCUAAGGUAGCGAAAUUCCUUGUCAGGUAAGUUCUGACGCGCAUGAAUGGCAUAAUCAUCCCCAUACUGUCUUGUCCUUAGACUCGGUGAAAUUACAAUCCUGGUAAAAAUGCCAGGUAGUUGCAGUUAGACGGAAAGACCCUGUGAAGCUUCACUAUAGAUUGAUAUUGGCAUGUAGUAUGUGCUGCUCAGUAUAAGUGGGAGGCGUUGAUGUUUCGACUUCGGUUGGGGCGGAGCCAACAAUGAGAUACCACUCAAUAUAUAUAGCAUUUCUAACCCCUAGGUUGGGGAACAGUGUCAGUUUGGUAGUUUACCUGGGGCUGGUGCCUCCUAAAAAGUAACGGAGGCGUGCAAAGGUUUGCUUGUCACGGAUGGAAACCGUGGUGGACGUGCAUUCGCAUAAGCAAGCUUGACUGUGAGACUGACAGGUCGAACAGAUACGAAAGUAGGCGAAAGUGAUCCGGAUCUUCCAUAUGGAAGGGGAUCCGCUCAACGGAUAAAAGUUACUCCGGGGAUAACAGGCUAAUGGUAUCUAAGCGUUCAUAGCGACGAUACCGUUUGGCACCUCGAUGUCGACUCGUCGCAUCCUGGGGCUGUAGAAGGUCCCAAGGGUUGGGUUGUUCACCCAUUAAAGCGGGACGCGAGUUGGGUUCAGAACGUCGUGAGACAGUUCGGUCCCUAUCUACUGCAACCGUAAGAAAUUUGAGAGAUGCUGUCCCUAGUACGAGAGGACCGGGAUGGACAAGCCUCUGGUAGUACCAGUUGUUCCGCCUAGGAGCACGGCUGGAUAGCUACGCUUGGAAAAGGUAACCGCUGAAAGCAUCUAAGUGGGAAACUUGUCUCAAGAUUAGAUUUCUCUCCCCUUGUGGGAAUAAGACCUCCGCGAGACUAGCGGGUUAAUAGACGUCAUGUGUAAGCAUAGCAAUGUGUUGAGCAGAGACGCACUAAUCGGUCGAAUGAGUUUUUCUU